GACGAACGCUGGCGGCGUGCUUAACACAUGCAAGUCGAACGGUGAAGCGCUUUCCUUUUUGGUUGGUGUGGAUGAGUGGCGAACGGGUGAGUAACACGUGAGUAACCUGCCCCCUUCUUCUGGAUAACCGCAUGAAAGUGUGGCUAAUACGGGAUAUUCUGCGCCUGCUGCAUGGUGGGUGUGGGAAAGAUUGUGCCUUUGGGUGUUUUCGGUGGGGGAUGGGCUCGCGGCCUAUCAGCUUGUUGGUGGGGUGAUGGCCUACCAAGGCGGUGACGGGUAGCCGGCAUGAGAGGGUGGACGGUCACACUGGGACUGAGACACGGCCCAGACUCCUACGGGAGGCAGCAGUGGGGAAUAUUGCACAAGGGGCGCAAGCCUGAUGCAGCGACGCCGCGUGAGGGAUGGAGGCCUUCGGGUUGUGAACCUCUUUCGCCAGUGAAGCAGGCCUGCUCCUUGUGGGUGGGUUGACGGUAGCUGGAUAAGAAGCGCCGGCUAACUACGUG
Molecule: ribosomal RNA, 503 nt
Filed under: uncultured bacterium
Lineage: Bacteria
Description: partial 16S ribosomal RNA
Rfam family: Bacterial small subunit ribosomal RNA
Source: RNAcentral